This 465-nucleotide ribosomal RNA is filed under the name uncultured bacterium. Its description in RNAcentral is "partial 16S ribosomal RNA". It matches the Rfam family "Bacterial small subunit ribosomal RNA", at positions 28 to 507 of the family's 1533-position model. The record is from RNAcentral.
GACGAACGCUGGCGGCGUGCUUAACACAUGCCAGUCGAACGGAAAGGCCCCCUUGUGGGGUACUCGAGUGGCGAACGGGUGAGUAACACGUGAGUAACCUACCCUUGACUUUGGGAUAACUUCAGGAAACUGGGGCUAAUACCGGAUAGGAGCUCCUGCUGCAUGGUGGGGGUUGGAAAGUUUCGGCGGUUGGGGAUGGACUCGCGGCUUAUCAGCUUGUUGGUGGGGUAGUGGCUCACCAAGGCUUUGACGGGUAGCCGGCCUGAGAGGGUGACCGGCCACAUUGGGACUGAGAUACGGCCCAGACUCCUACGGGAGGCAGCAGUGGGGAAUAUUGCACAAUGGGCGGAAGCCUGAUGCAGCAACGCCGCGUGCGGGAUGACGGCCUUCGGGUUGUAAACCGCUUUCGCCUGUGACGAAGCGUGAGUGACGGUAAUGGGUAAAGAAGCACCGGCUAUCUACGUG